RNAcentral lists this ribosomal RNA (484 nucleotides) under uncultured bacterium. Its description in RNAcentral is "partial 16S ribosomal RNA". It matches the Rfam family "Bacterial small subunit ribosomal RNA", at positions 30 to 507 of the family's 1533-position model. The record is from RNAcentral.
AUUGAACGCUGGCGGCAGGCCUAACACAUGCAAGUCGAGCGGAUGAAGGGAGCUUGCUCCUGGAUUCAGCGGCGGACGGGUGAGUAAUGCCUAGGAAUCUGCCUGGUAGUGGGGGAUAACGUCCGGAAACGGGCGCUAAUACCGCAUACGUCCUGAGGGAGAAAGUGGGGGAUCUUCGGACCUCACGCUAUCAGAUGAGCCUAGGUCGGAUUAGCUAGUUGGUGGGGUAAAGGCCUACCAAGGGGAGGAUCCGUAACUGGUCUGAGAGGAUGAUCAGUCACACUGGAACUGAGACACGGUCCAGACUCCUACGGGAGGCAGCAGUGGGGAACAUUGGACAAUGGGCGAAAGCCUGAUCCAGCCAUGCCGCGUGUGUGAAGAAGGUCUUCGGAUUGUAAAGCACUUUAAGGUGGGAGGAAGGGCAGUAAGUUAAUACCUUGCUGUUUUGACGUUACCAACAGAAUAAGCACCGGCUAACUUCGUG